This 64-nucleotide transfer RNA is filed under the name Pieleus irregularis. Its description in RNAcentral is "tRNA-Ile". The record is from RNAcentral. Lineage: Eukaryota; Metazoa; Arthropoda; Insecta; Coleoptera; Cleridae.
AAUGAGAUGCCUGAUAAAAGGAUUAUUUUGAUAGAAUAAAACAUGCAUUCAUAUGCUCUCAUUA